CGUGCAGGAUGACGGUCUUCGGACUUGGUAAACUGCUUUUAUAUGGGAAGAUAAUGACGGUACCAUAUAGAAUAAGGACCGGCUAACUACGUGC
RNAcentral lists this ribosomal RNA (94 nucleotides) under uncultured bacterium. RNAcentral's name for it is "partial 16S ribosomal RNA". The record is from RNAcentral.